This is a long non-coding RNA of Salvia miltiorrhiza (redroot sage), 983 nucleotides long. RefSeq lists it as uncharacterized. The record is from RefSeq and is a predicted model, not a curated record. The transcript is spliced from 3 exons. Lineage: Eukaryota; Viridiplantae; Streptophyta; Magnoliopsida; Lamiales; Lamiaceae.
AGCAGUUAAUGAUAUUAUUUCAGAGUUAUAACUGACUUAGCAAAGUCACGUUAUUUAUUUAAGCGAGAUGAAAUUUGAUUUUAUUUUUACUCAGAUCGUGAAUUAUUUCCGACUCAGGAAGUUAAUUAAAUCUGCGGAUUUAAUUUAGAUAUCAGAACAACGAACGAAUUAAAUCUACGGAUUUAAUUUAGAUUCAUUUUAUAAUUUAUCGGUUUUAGUGAGAAAUCACAUGUCGAAAUACGAGAUUUAUUUAAAUAAACAGUAUCAAGCAUAUACGAGCACACGAUCCAUCUUACAGUUACAGAAUCACCGAGACAGAGAAAAUACAUCAAUAAUUCUCCUCUACAUUUUUUUUCCUUUCUUUUUCUUCUCUUUUUCUUUCCAUUAAUUUUGUUCCCCACUCCAUCAACUCCACUACCCUAUGCUCCCCACCAUCUCCACUACCUUUGCUCCCCAUCAACUCCAACACUUCACCCAUUCCUUCCAUUUCGCACCAGCAAUCACAAAGAGAAGGAAGACUUGGCUUAACUACUUUGCCAAGAUUUCAAGCUGCUCCAGUCCAGUAGUACCCCAACACUCGAAGCUAGAGUUUAUUGGGUGAAAAACCGUGCAUGAGGUCGAGCGCAAGAAUAAGAGCUCGUCAAGGAGUCACUAAUCUGUAGCAAAGCUUUGCUAUCAGGUUGAGCAGUAGACGAUGGUGAUGAAGUGACGAGUGGAAUCCUCUUUUGUCGCAAUAUUAUAUGCUAUGAAAAACUCUAGGGUUACAUGUCUUCAUACAUGUAAUCAGAACCUUAUUCCGCUGCGUACUCAGAAGUUUUAUGUUAUUUUGGCUAAGUCAGAGUUAUCUGAACUUAUUAGUUAUUUGAGUCUAUACGACUAAACCUCUGUUAUAUUAUAAAUAUUCCUUUUGUUAAAUGAUGAAAUGCGAUUCUUCCUUGUUUGAUUAUCCCCUUUCUACCCCGCUUCUAAUCUCCCUCCAUUAG